Long non-coding RNA from Salvelinus fontinalis (brook trout), 222 nucleotides. RefSeq lists it as uncharacterized. The record is from RefSeq and is a predicted model, not a curated record. Lineage: Eukaryota; Metazoa; Chordata; Actinopteri; Salmoniformes; Salmonidae. The transcript is spliced from 3 exons.
GGGGCAGGGUUAGAGGUUAGAGGUUAGGUUCUAUACUAACUUGAUCUUGAUGAUGUCCAGUGGGGCAGGGUUAGAGGUUAGAGGUUAGGGUUUAGGUUCUAUACUAACUUGAUCUUGAUGAUGACCAGUGGGGCAGGGUUAGAGGUUAGAGGUUAGGGUUUAGGUUCUAUACUAACUUGAUCUUGAUGAUGUCCAUGCCAGUGACAGUCAGACUAACAUGAU